Molecule: long non-coding RNA, 1263 nt
Organism: Amphibalanus amphitrite
Lineage: Eukaryota; Metazoa; Arthropoda; Thecostraca; Balanomorpha; Balanidae
Exons: 3
Source: RefSeq, a predicted model, not a curated record
CCGUCGGUUCCGCCCGCACAUCUGGUUGAGGGGCGUCUCCUGUCGCCAUCUGUCAUCGUGAAUGGGGCCGUGCCGACGUGUCAGACGGGACGAACGGGGGAAGUCGGUCCAGAGUCACUGCGCCGCGCGGUUGUGGGAGCAAGCCGUGGGCUAGGUACCGCUCCAGGUCAGACCAUGGUUGGCACUGAAGAGUGAGGCGACACUACACUGUGAACGAAGACGGUGAACGGCGAGAUGUGGUGACCGCUUGUCUGACCAGUGCCAAAAGUCGUGAUCUACCGCUGGGGUCAGUGCGUGAGAAGCUGGACUCGGCACCAACGGAGGACGCAGCUCGACGAGGAAGCUAUGCUGUGUUGAGGGACGUCUGCCGGUUACGACCGGAAGGUUUCCGACGGGACUUGGCAGAACCCACAACAGCAGUAUGAACCCGGCGUGGAGUUAAUGCGUAAUUGCUCGCAUGAGCAACCGAAGAGCGACUUUCAGGCGAAGCUGCCGCAGAAUUCCUGGAGAUGCGCUGGGACAUGGAUCAUAGCAAGGUGGCUCUCAGCGGCAGCUGACCGCUAAGAUGUGUCUGAAACAGCCAGAAAGAGACUCGAGUUGUGGUUCCAGGGCACUACCGAACAGAAGGCGGGACCAGCUGUAGGGAGACUACAGCAAAGCCGUCGUUCUCAAUCUGCUGAACAGACUCCUGCUGCAGAGGAAAAUUGGGGUUCGACGUGUUAGAACUGGGGUUAGACCGGUUACCAGUGCUCGUGUUCGUCACCUGUUGUUUGUCACUGCUGUGCUGCUGCUGUAUGUCAUGUUUGCCACCUGCUAAGCGUUCACAAUGUUUUUUGAGUGAGUAAUAACUUUUUUAGUGUUUGUCUUGAUUUGUAACGAGUAUAUCAAGUAUGUUAAUCUUUCAUCAAAUGAAGGACUCCAUAUAAAAAUAGUAUAGGCUGUGGUGGUACAGACAUAUAUACUAGUUUCUCGCGUUUAUCGUAACACAAGAUGAACAAAUUUCAAUUUAUCGCAACAUGUUUAUCGCAACAUUUUUGCCUCGAUUUAUUGCAUCAUCUAGGAUGUUGCAAUAAACUUGUGCAUCUUUUAAUGAAAGGUUUUGCCUAUCUAGGAAGAAAAAAUUCGGAUAUGUUCCUUCAUGGAUUGAAUCGCUGCGUCGCUCGCCGGUGAGGCACGGAGGUUGAGAUGCUGGAGGGACGGACAUGCAAUAAUUCUUGAGGUGUACCUAUCAGGUGCACGAUGGACAGAUUCGGUGCUUAUCUU